Molecule: ribosomal RNA, 316 nt
Filed under: uncultured Lactobacillus sp.
Lineage: Bacteria; Bacillati; Bacillota; Bacilli; Lactobacillales; Lactobacillaceae
Description: bacterial SSU rRNA
Rfam family: Bacterial small subunit ribosomal RNA
Source: RNAcentral
ACCUGCGAUGCAUUAGCUAGUUGGUAAGGGUAACGGGUCUUUACCGAAGGCGAUGAUGCAUAGCCCGAGUUGAGAGACUGAUCGGGCCACAUUGGGGACUGAGACACGGGACCCAAAACUCCGUACGGGGAGGCAGCAGUAGGGAAUCUUCCACAAUGGACGAAAGUCUGAUGGAGCAACGCCGCGUGAGUGAAGAAGGUUUUCGGAUCGUAAAAGCUCUGUUGUUGGUGAAGAAGGAUAGAGGUAGUAACUGGCCUUUAUUUGACGGUAAUCAACCAGAAGUCACGGCUAACUACGUGCCAGCAGCCGCGGUAAU